CGGGACUUCCACAGGCCCCGCCCAGCGCCCCUCCGCCCGUCUUCCCGCGGACCAGAGCGCAGUCACCUACUUCCUCAACAAUCGUUCAUAACGCGCUGAUAAUAGCAGGGACCCUGCUGAAUGUGUCACCUGCAUCCUGCUGAUGCAUAUGCUCACCUCUGGAGCACAGGUGAGGUCUUAAGUGACCACAAAAGAAGGACCAGACAGAGUAACAAAGAGAACUCCUCCUUUAGGAUUGUUGAGACAGGACGCUCUGUGGGCUCCAGCCCCAACGGCAGCUCACGUGGAAGAAGAGGAGAGAUCCAUCUCCACCCCUCCUGAAAACCCUGAAAGAUACUCCAUUGUCUGGAAGGACCACCAUUUACUCAUCCGCCUACUGAAGGAUGCCUUGGUUGCUCCCAAGAUUUGUCAAUUAUGAAAAAAGCUGCUAUAAAUAUCCAUGUACAGGUUUGGGUGUGGAUAUAAACUUUCAGCUCCCUUGGGUAAAUAUCAAGGAGUGUGAUUGCUGGAUCACACGGUAAGAACAGGCUUAGUUUUGUAAGAAAUAGUCAAACUGUCUUCCAAAGUGGCUUUCCCAUUCCGUAUUCCUGCUAGCAAUGAAUGAGUUUCCUGUUGCCCCACAUCAUCUGCAGCAUUUGGUGCUGUCAGUGUUCCAGAAUUUGGCCUCUCUAAAAUGUGGGUAAUGGUAUCUCAUUGUUGUUUUAAUUUUCCUUUCCCUGAUGGUAUAUUACGUGGAACAACUUUUAUGUUUGUUUACCAUCUAAAUAUCUUCUUUGGUGAGAUAUCUGUGAAGAUCUUUGACCCAUUUUCUAAUUGGGAUGUUUGUUUUCUUAUUGUUGAGUUUAAGUGUUCUUUCUAUAUUUAGUGCCUUGUAUAAUAGUGCCUUAUCAAAUAUGCCUUUUGCAAAUAUUUUCUCCCAAUCUGUGGCUUGUCUUCUCAGUUUCUUGAUGAAUGUUCAGUUUUAAAAAUUUAAUCUAAUUUUACAAGUAAUACAAAAAUUUAUUUUCUGUGGGGGAAAAACAAUGAAACGGUACAAAAUCUGCCUUGAUUUUUAUCCUCUGAGUCCACUCUCACCACAGCCCACGGGUUAUGCCUGUUAUCUCUUCUGAGUGUAUUCUUCCCCAUCCUGCUCUAUGUGUUUUUAAUCGCACAUGUUUCUAUUUCCGUGGGGAAUAAAUAGCUCUAUUUUGCGUGCAUGUGGUUUACAUAAAUGUUGGCAUAUCACACCUAUUGUUUGCCAACUCUGGUCAUACUGUCUUGAAAAUUCAUCUGUGUUAGGAUGUAUACAGCUACCUUAUUCUAAGCAUAGCAUUGUGUUCCAUUAAAUGAAUGUAUUACAAUGUAUUUAGCUUUUCCCUACUGGUGGAUGCUUAGGUUGCUCCUGAUGUUUUCUUCUGUCCCUUUAUAAAAACAAUCUUUUAAAAUUUUGGUCAAAUUCAUGCAUAUUCAUGGCAUUAAAAAAUCAAAUAAUAUUAUAAGGUUUCUAGCAAAUGUUAGUAAUGCAACACACACA
Felis catus (domestic cat) is the source of this 1513-nucleotide long non-coding RNA. RefSeq lists it as uncharacterized. The transcript is spliced from 4 exons. The record is from RefSeq and is a predicted model, not a curated record. NCBI's taxonomy places the organism in Eukaryota, Metazoa, Chordata, Mammalia, Carnivora, Felidae.